UUGCCUACGGGAGGCAGCAGUGAGGAAUAUUGGUCAAUGGUCGGGAGACUGAACCAGCCAAGUCGCGUGAGGGAAGACGGUCCUAUGGAUUGUAAACCUCUUUUGUCGGAGAGCAAAAGACGCCACGCGUGGCGUUCCGAGAGUACCCGAAGAAAAAGCAUCGGCUAACUCCGUGCCAGCAGCCGCGGUAAUACGGAGGAUGCGAGCGUUAUCCGGAUUUAUUGGGUUUAAAGGGUGCGCAGGCGGAAGAUCAAGUCAGCGGUAAAAUUGAGAGGCUCAACCUCUUCGAGCCGUUGAAACCGGUU
RNAcentral lists this ribosomal RNA (305 nucleotides) under uncultured bacterium. RNAcentral describes it as "bacterial SSU rRNA". It matches the Rfam family "Bacterial small subunit ribosomal RNA", at positions 335 to 638 of the family's 1533-position model. The record is from RNAcentral.